ACAAGCGGUGGAGUAUGUGGUUUAAUUCGACGCAACGCGCAGAACCUUACCUUGGUCUUGACAUCCCGGGAAUCUUGUGGAAACACGAGAGUGCCUCGCAAGAGGAGCCUGGAGACAGGUGCUGCAUGGCUGUCGUCAGCUCGUGUCGUGAGAUGUUGGGUUAGGUCCCGCAACGAGCGCAACCCCUAUCUUUAGUUGCCAUCAUUGAGUUGGGCACUCUAAAGAGACUGCCGGUGUCAAACCGGAGGAAGGUGGGGAUGACGUCAAGUCCUCAUGGCCUUUAUGACCAGGGCUACACACGUACUACAAUGGCCGGUACAAAGGGCAGCGACACAGCGAUGUGAAGCGAAUCCCGAAAAGCCGGUCUCAGUCCGGAUUGGAGUCUGCAACUCGACUCCAUGAAGUUGGAAUCGCUAGUAAUCGCGGAUCAGCACGCCGCGGUGAAUACGUUCCCGGGCCUU
Molecule: ribosomal RNA, 461 nt
Filed under: uncultured Desulfocapsa sp.
Lineage: Bacteria; Pseudomonadati; Thermodesulfobacteriota; Desulfobulbia; Desulfobulbales; Desulfocapsaceae
Description: bacterial SSU rRNA
Rfam family: Bacterial small subunit ribosomal RNA
Source: RNAcentral